Molecule: long non-coding RNA, 5379 nt
Organism: Hemibagrus wyckioides
Lineage: Eukaryota; Metazoa; Chordata; Actinopteri; Siluriformes; Bagridae
Exons: 5
Source: RefSeq, a predicted model, not a curated record
UGUGUGUGUGUGUGAUUUAAUUACUGUGCUACAAAUGUUAUCACACACACACACACAUACUUGGUCAAAACACGGCCUUGUAAUCUGUAGGCUGAAGCUCAAAGUAAACAAACACAGAUGCACUAUGUAACAAACAGUGGUGUGUGUGUUUGGACAGUUAAUUUGGGCCUUAAUGACAAGUCUGUGUGACAUUGUUAUAUUUGAAUUCCUGAUUUGUCUGGAAACUAAUCAACCAUGCCAGAUACUCUGAGUGUGUUUCUCUGUCUGUCCACUAGAUGGCAGCACUAAUAUGAUCUCAUCUGAUCUCACCAUUUACACUGUAUACCGCAAUUAGGCUGAGUGUGUGUGUGUGUGUGAGAUGACAUGAGAAAAAAUAUAUUAAGAGAAACCAGUCCCCCAAAUAGAGAAUCCAUUCUAAUUUGAGUAAAUUAAGUAUGAACAUUUCAGUAUAGAGUUUUAAGUAGAGUUUUUUAAGUAGAGUAAAUUUCAGUAGAGUUUUAAGUUUCUUGUAUCUGAAGUUUAAACUGUAUAGGAGGAAAAUUGAAAAUUAAAGGUAACAGAUAGAGCUGGCUGUAGACUUCUAAUAUCUCCUCUCUUCUGUCACAGUGAGUGUAUUUUUAUACAUUACUACUGCUUGGGUAGUAGCCUCCUGGUGGUUCUUAUUGACGCGGCCCAGGUUCGAUUCCCGGGCAGAGCGCUAACCCAGCCACUGAAGAGUUAACUCUCAGUGCCGGUUCCAAGCCAGGAUUAAAUGGGAGGGUUGCAUCAGAAAGGACAUCCGGUGUAAAACCUCUGCCAAAUCAAAACAUGAGGACCAAACUCCACUGUGUUCUGCUUGGGUAGUGAUGGACUCUCAAGGUGAUCUUUGUUCAGCUAAAUUCCUUUCAAUUUGCAGUCUCUUUUUAAAUGUCAAAACUAAGAAAAGUGACAGAAAAACAAUCUGCGGUCACCAGACUCCUCCCAUUCAGUUUGAGGUUGUUUGGUGGUAGCAAAUUUCACCACCAAAAGAGGACAAUACCUUUCUAUCAACAGGGGAUAGUAACCUUGACUACCACCAGAGGACUGCUCUAACCUCAGCCCCAACAGUGGACAGUUGCCUUCUUCUCUCUGUCACAACAAUCGUAACUUGUUUAUAUCCUGAUUUUGGACUAUAAAUGUUUUAGACACAUCUCAUCAGUGUCUCUUGUUGUAUUUGUUCUAAACUACAUUAACCCUGAUACCCUUGCCUGUGUAUUUUUCACUUUUGGAUCAGUUUUUAGUCUAAUUGACAAAAUAACUUCAUAAUUGAUGCUUGAUUUUGUUUUAAAAAAUGGAUCUACAUACAUCUGAAGAGUCAGGUACAUCACAACACUGUGAACAUGAGAAAACACAAAGUGGACGUCUCACCCUUAUUCAUAAUCAUCUGAAGUAGAAUCACACAAAAAAGUGGGAAGUCAAAUUUCGCUACAUUUUGCUUUUGAUCUGAUAAACCUGACAGUGAAAAGAGCUAGGCAUCAUAAACCCAGCAUGGGAGAUCCCCAUUGUGUUGAAGUACCUUAAGACCCCCUUUAUCACCCUAUGGAAGAUGCAGAACUGAAAUCUGAAAUCUGGCUUUUUCUUAGCAAUCACACCCGGUGAAAUCAGUUCAGAGGAAAAGAGUGGAUCACCCAGUUUUGAUCCAAAACAUUCCUUGACAUGCUUGAUAUUCUCCUUUCGGCACUGUGUGAUCUCUUCUGUCUGAAUAUAUGCCUGGAUGAGGGUAGGGGACGUCAUCACCAUGGCUUGCAGAUGGACUGAAUACUUAACCCCAUAACACAUGACUCUACGAGGAGGGUCUCCUCUUCAUGGGCAUUUUUAGCAAUGUUCUGCACUAGAACGUUAUAGGUAUGAAUGCCUGUUUUUUUCAGGUUCUACAGGGUUAACCUCACACCUUCUGCAGGUUCUAGUGGGUUAACCUCACACCUUCUGCAGGUUCUAGUGGGUUAACCUCACACCUUCUGCAGGUUCUAGUGGGUUAACCUCACACCUUCUGCAGGUUCUAGUGGGUUAACCUCACACCUUCUGCAGGUUCUAGUGGGUUAACCUCACACCUUCUGCAGGUUCUAGUGGGUUAACCUCACACCUUCUGCACAUUCUACAGGGUUAACCUCAUACCUUCUGCAGGUUCUAGUGGGUUAACCUCACACCUUCUGCACAUUCUACAGGGUUAACCUCACACCUUCUGCAGGUUCUAGUGGGUUAACCUCACACCUUCUGCACAUUCUACAGGGUUAACCUCACACCUUCUGCAGGUUCUAGUGGGUUAACCUCACACCUUCUGCAUCUUCAAGUGGGUUAACCUCACACCUUCUGCAGGUUCUAGUGGGUUAACCUCACACCUUCUGCAGGUUCUACAUUCCAGAGGCAUGAGUAAAGAGAUGUUCUCUAACACCUUUCACAUUAGACCUAAGGUGAGUAUUUUAUGAUAAUGUGACAUUGAUUAGCCGGUGAAAGUUCUAGAAACUACUGUGAAACCAGCACCUUCUAAAAUACGCAAACCAGCAAAUGUAUAUUUCAUUAUUAUUAUUAUUAUUAUUAUUAUUAUUAUAAUGCAAUGUUAAUAAACUGAGUUUUAUCAUAGAGCAUUUAUUGUGAAUUCCUGAAAAUGAUCUCACACACACACACACACACCCUGUUUCUCUUAAACACUUCUUUCACAGACAGGAAGUGAUGUCGCGGCUGUUGUUUCCAUGGCAACGGAUGUAGUUGCUUAGAUACUGUCACUUCAGCCUCUUUCUCUGUUUCUCUCUCCCUCUGUUUCACUCUCUCUCUCUCUCUCUCUCUCUCUCUCUCUCUCCCUCUGUCAGUGACAUUGGAAAUAUUUUUGCAGCAUGAAUUUUCACAGGUAUGCAUAUAUAAGGACACUGUUUUGUGUGUGUGUGUGUUUGAAACAGGGCUUCAUUGUCAUCAUCAGUAUCAGUGCCCUCCAGACUGAUGACUCUAUGCACACACACACACACACACACAAUGUGUGGACGAUGCACAAGAAAAAGCAGAGAGAAAGAAACAGAUACAGAGAGAGUCAGGAAAGGGACAGGGAUGCAUUAAAAUAUGAAGUAGACAGGCAGAGAGUGAGUAAGAGAGAGAGAGAGAGAGAGAGAGAGACAUACAGAGAAACAGAUAGAGAGAGAUCGUAGGGCACGAGAGAAGGAAGGAGGAAUAUCCACUGCACUACUGUGUGACUGGAUUCUUAAUGGAGGAGAAAGUGAGAGAGAGAGCGGGGGGGAUAGAGAGAGAGAGACAGACAGAGAGAGUGAAAGAUAGGGUAAAAUUCAGGGAGCAGAAUUGGGAUGGAAGAGAAAGACAGUGUAAAAAAAAUAGACAGGAAUAAAGAGAGAUGGAAAGAGAUGUAUAUAGAACAGAGUAGGCAUCAUGGAAAAAGAGAGGAUGACAGAAAGAGAGAGAAAGAGAGAGAGAUAUUAGGAGAAAGUAGUAGGGACAGACAGUUAGACAGACAUGUAGACAAUCUUUAGUAAUGUUAUGUUUAAGACACGAUCUGAAUAAUACCAGUACAGUAGAAAACUCAUCAUUAGCAGCUGUUUAAUGAUUUCUCCUCUGUUCCUGUGAGCAUUAGGAAAUAAAACACUUAUCCCGACACGCAUGAGUAUGUUAGCUACUUAACAGAAUAACAUUAGUCAUAUUUUCAAGUAGCUAGCUAAUUAGAGAAUGUACAGCUAUUAUACUGGCAUUUAUUUCUUCAGUGAUAUGAAGUGAUGUGCUGUGGUCAGGACAGAUAGAGGAUACUGAGGAGAUAUACUGAGAUAAGGACUGUACUAGGCAUUUAUCUCAUCUACUAAUAAAUUACAGAAUUUUAAACCACAGGGAAAUAAUGAAGUGGGAAUAAAAUCCUGAUGAUAAUUAUAUUAAUUGUUGUAUUUUGAUUGAAGAUAAACAGGCAAAGGUAAAUAACCAAACUAACACCGUUAAAUUUGUUAGCUUUUUUUUAGUCUUUGCAUCAGAGGAAAUGGAGCUCUGUGUUCUCUCUUUUUCUAGCACAUUGUCCAUAAUGAGCAAGUUAAAUCUCUCUGAGACCACACGAGGAAGAAACCUUGUCAGGAACCAGACUCAACAGGGAACCCAUUCUCAUCAGGCAUUUGAACCAGUCAACCACAAGACUCUCUUGCCCACCCUCAGGAGUCCUGGAAUAUGUGAAUGGGUUGCUUCCUACCUGGAAUAUGGGAAUGGUUUGCUUCCUACCUGGAUAGUCACUCAUAUCAGGUAACAUGGAGGGGAUUGACAUCUGCUCCAUGUAGACUCUCCACUGGUGUCCCACAAGCUACCACACCCUCUGCUCAGAUCUUAGCAUGUCUGGAGGCCAUACCAUCUUGGAUGACAGCUCAUCAGCUGAAACUCAUUCCCAGCAAAACUGAACUGCUGGUCAUUCCAGAUUUCCUCUUGAGUUUGGAUCCUCUCAAGGUUCAUCCUCAUUUCAUCUCAGGGAGUUUUUCUUGCAGCAGUUGCCUUUGGUUUGCUUAUUAGGGAUAAAUAUAUAUUAAAUUUAAAACAUCUUAAUUUCUAUUCUAAAUGUAUAUAUUUCUGUAAAACUGCUUUGAGUCAAUAUCCAUUGGUAAAAACACUAGACAAAUAAAAUUUAAUAAAAUCUGUGCUGGUUUUGGACAUUCUACAAAAAUAUGACAGGGUGAAUAUUUUUGCCACAUCUGUUAUAAAUCUCGUGAAAGGUUUGGGCCACAUCAGGGCCAGAGUAGUUUUUUAUUCGGGUAGUUACUCAGAAAGUGAGACUACCUCUAUAAAAGCAGAAUAUUUGUAGUGUUCUGGAGUUUGUCUACAUUGUGCAAAAAAGGACAUCAGCCAUGACCUUAAAGAAGGAAUUGUUGUUGCUCGUCAAUCUGAGAAGUGGUUCAAUACAAUUCAGUUUUAUUUGUAUGGUGCUUUUAACCAUGGUCAUUGUCUCAUAGCAGCUUUACAGAAAAAUAAAAAUUCAGGAUAAAAAUCAGAGAGAGAGACAGUGUACAGUGUGUUCAAAGUGCAGACAGAGACUCACCAAUACUAUUCAAUUCAAUUCAAUUUAUUUUGUAUAGCGCCUUUUACAAUGACCAAUGAACAUUGUCUCAAAGCAGCUUUACAAAAGAAGAAAAACAGAGAAAGGGGAGUAGAAAAUGAAAAUAAAAAAUAACUAAACUCGAAAUAAGAAUAAAAUUAUUAAAUUAAAUUAUUAAAUUAUUUUAUCUCUAUCUAUGACUGCUAUGACUACUAUAUAUGACUGCAUGACUAAAAGGGAGACAUGAGAGCUUCCUGGGACAUAAACUGCCCAGUCACUCCACCAUCAACAAACCUGAGUAAACAUGUGAGAGUGGGGGGCUGACAGCAUCCAAACAUCCAAGGUAACCAAACACUAUGCCU